AAGCGCUUGUGACCAGACUUGCGUCCGGUGAAUCACCCAGCUCUCGCGGCUGGGGCACUUCGCCGGCACAGGCCAGCAUCAGCUUGCCGUCGGGGACAAAAGCUUCAGGAACGUAGCUCCUCCGGGAGUGUUAUAGCCCUCGGUGCAAUGCCCCCGCGGGGACCGAGGACCGCGCUUCGGCAAGGAUGCUGGCGUAAUGGUCAUCAGCGA
Molecule: ribosomal RNA, 210 nt
Filed under: Glomerellaceae sp.
Lineage: Eukaryota; Fungi; Ascomycota; Sordariomycetes; Glomerellales; Glomerellaceae
Description: partial large subunit ribosomal RNA
Source: RNAcentral